This 73-nucleotide non-coding RNA is filed under the name Saccharolobus solfataricus P2. Its description in RNAcentral is "Sulfolobus solfataricus P2 Sulfolobus sRNA133". It matches the Rfam family "Sulfolobus sRNA133". Rfam says of the family: This RNA has structural homologues in 3 archaeon Sulfolobus genomes: tokodaii, acidocalarius and solfotaricus. It shows extensive compensatory base changes, possibly consistent with a functional role. The record is from Rfam by way of RNAcentral. Lineage: Archaea; Thermoproteati; Thermoproteota; Thermoprotei; Sulfolobales; Sulfolobaceae.
AAGAUGCUCAAUGAAACCCCCAUGUCCUCGAAGGGAGUGGUUUGACUACCGCUCCCGUAGACGGCACGGGGAG